Non-coding RNA from Phascolarctos cinereus (koala), 889 nucleotides. Lineage: Eukaryota; Metazoa; Chordata; Mammalia; Diprotodontia; Phascolarctidae. The record is from RefSeq and is a predicted model, not a curated record.
CAGUGAGGAUAAAGAGAUUGAGACAAACAGGUGGGGAGGGGGGCUUUUUGGAGUGGUUUGUCUAAGACUGUAUAUACUGCUUGCUGUUGUUUGUGCUUCGCCUCUCUACACCAGUCUGUCCUGGGUACGAGAUGCCCAAUUCUAGCGAGACUUGCUAGAAUAAAACCUUCUGUUUUCCACCUGGAGAUACCUCUGAGUUUUUUAUUUGGGCAAGCUACGUGGGCUCAGAAGUCCUAGAGUCAUUUGACCCUGUGUCCAACUAUACUUAUGUUCUUGAGAGCCUACUUAGAAACAUCUAAGAAUCACCUUCAGACCCUCAGAAGUAGCCCAGCAUGGUGGCUGUAUUAUAAACUUCAAAAAAAAAGAAAAGCUGGGUUCACGUCUCAGCUAUUAUACCCGGUGAAUGCGUGACCAUGGGCAGAAAACUACUUUUCCAAAAGGAUCCCACCACUUAACCUUUGCAGUUCUAACUCUAUGAUCCUGUGAUCCUGUUUAUUAUCUCAUUUAUCUGUUUUGUUAAAAAUCUAAGAAUGCCUCCUCAUUGCUGGCAAGAACCACUCAACUAGCCUUUUAGAAUUUGAAAGUUACUGUAUUACAGUUUGUCUAUAUUAUAUUAUAUUACCUUUGACCUGUCUUAUUAAUUCUCAUGCUUUCUUCUGUCCUAUUCUGUAUUUUAAAGAGAAAUUUAGAGAAAUUUAACUUUUUAUUUAGACAGGCAUUCUGCAUCUGUUUUUCUCUAUGUGUUCAAUUUUUGCAUUUCUUCUAUUUUGUAAUCCUUAUAUCUGAGGAACUUGAGGGGAUUAGUCUAGUAGUGGUUAAUCGUGGGAAUUGAGUGAACCCUACUGACUCCAUCUUGUGACUCAAUUCUGGAGCUAGCUCAGUUCUCUGU